CCUGCUGGGAAGGGUUAUAACUCAUUGGCAGAGCAUCUGUUUUGCAUGCAGAAGGGCGCAGGUUCAAUACCCGGCACCUGCAGGU
This is a non-coding RNA of Podarcis lilfordi (Lilford's wall lizard), 85 nucleotides long. The record is from the annotation of a GenBank genome assembly. Lineage: Eukaryota; Metazoa; Chordata; Lepidosauria; Squamata; Lacertidae.